GAUGAAUUCCUAGAUUGGUUUCCAAUAUUUUUUUUUAUUAAUAUUAUUAUUACUAUUUUAUACAGAAAAGUAUUGGGUUUAACAUACCUCUUCUUUUUGCAUUACAGUAAUUUAUGCUUAGAAGAAAUACUACCUGCGUGUCCCACCAAACACAUAUUUGGAAAUGUUCGGGGUUGCUUAAGUACCCGCAAGGACUUGAAUGACAGAAAGUUCAUUUUUUCUCCGAAUGAACAUCUGAUUAGAGUAGCCCAUGCUUUACCCCCCUUUGGGAGACAUGCUGUCAGCCAGCAAAGCCGUGGUGGUCGUGGUAACUGUCAGUGCACAUCCAACAGCUGCUCUGUUACACAUUCCCUAACCUGGCAAGAGCUGCGCUGCUGAGAUUCUGCCGCUUUCCUCCACCCUGGCGUUGAGCUGCCGCGGCCCCGUACUUCCAGCAGGUAGGCUGGCGAGCAGCACUCGCUGCAGCUGCUCCUCAGCUUCCUUCGGCUGGUGCAUCACACGCACAAGGUCUCCCUAAGGUGCCUUCUGUGGCCUCGGCCCUGGAGACCCAACGUCACCUCUGUCAAGCAACCAGAGCUCCACAGCUGGAAGCCCGCAGGGGCCUCACUUGGUUGGCACUCAGAUUUUGCAGACAGUUGUACGCUGUGGCUUUUUGCUAUGCUGAUGGUAUAAAAUUAUUAGGAAAAACUGUGCUUAAGUGGACAUUUUGAAUUCUUUAGGCUCAAAGAAGGACUUGGUCUGCUGAAUAGAAGAUCAAUAGACUGGAUAGUGUAUGCUCCAGUGAUAGUAAAAUAACUCUAUCUGUACAGUUGUCUUGUUCUAGCUGGGCUGUAGCUGGGGCAGAACUUCAGCUACAUAAUACAGAAUUCAGUGCAAAUUAUGUUCAGUAGAUAGACAUCUUAAUCAUCACCUGAACAGUCAUUUUAAGUUUAAU
Molecule: long non-coding RNA, 934 nt
Filed under: Anas platyrhynchos platyrhynchos (common mallard)
Lineage: Eukaryota; Metazoa; Chordata; Aves; Anseriformes; Anatidae
Description: lncRNA (ENSAPLG00000020883.1)
Source: RNAcentral